AACGAACGCUGGCGGCAUGCCUAACACAUGCAAGUCGAACGAGACCUUCGGGUCUAGUGGCGCACGGGUGCGUAACGCGUGGGAAUCUGCCCUUGGGUUCGGAAUAACAGUUGGAAACGACUGCUAAUACCGGAUGAUGACGUAAGUCCAAAGAUUUAUCGCCCAAGGAUGAGCCCGCGUAGGAUUAGCUAGUUGGUGAGGUAAAGGCUCACCAAGGCGACGAUCCUUAGCUGGUCUGAGAGGAUGAUCAGCCACACUGGGACUGAGACACGGCCCAGACUCUGCCGGGAGGGGGGAGGGGGGAAUAUUGGAAAGGGGGGGAAGGCUUGAAACAGCACGGCCGGGUGAGUGAUGAGGCCCUGGGGGUAGAAAAGUUUUUUUACCGGGGAAAAUAAGGACAGUACCGGAAAAAAAAGCCCCGGCUAACUCCGUG
This 433-nucleotide ribosomal RNA is filed under the name uncultured bacterium. RNAcentral describes it as "partial 16S ribosomal RNA". It matches the Rfam family "Bacterial small subunit ribosomal RNA", at positions 29 to 507 of the family's 1533-position model. The record is from RNAcentral.